This 285-nucleotide ribosomal RNA is filed under the name uncultured bacterium. RNAcentral's name for it is "partial 16S ribosomal RNA". It matches the Rfam family "Bacterial small subunit ribosomal RNA", at positions 224 to 501 of the family's 1533-position model. The record is from RNAcentral.
GACGAGUCUGCGGCCCAUCAGCUUGUUGGUGAGGUAAUGGCUUACCAAGGCUAAGACGGGUAGCUGGUCUGAGAGGAUGAUCAGCCACACUGGUACUGGAACACGGACCAGACUCCUACGGGAGGCAGCAGUGAGGAAUAUUGGGCAAUGGGCGAAAGCCUGACCCAGCCACGCCGCGUGUGUGAUGAAGGCCUUCGGGUCGUAAAGCACUGUGGGGAGAGACGAACAUGCGCAUGAGGAGAUGCUUGCGCACUGACGGUACCUCCUUAGAAAGCACCGGCUAAC